AGCAGCCGCGGUAAUUCCAGCUCCAAUAGCGUAUAUUAAAGUUGUUGCAGUUAAAAAGCUCGUAGUUGAAUUUCGGGGUCAGUAGGUUGGUCGUGCCACGGGUAUGAACUGGUCUCACUGAUUCCUCCUUCCUGAUGAACCGUAAUGCCAUUAAUUUGGUGUUGCGGGGAAUUUGGACUGUUACUUUGAAAAAAUUAGAGUGUUUAAAGCAAGCUAACGCUUGAAUACAUUAGCAUGGAAUAAUGAAAUAGGACGUUCGAUCCUAUUUUGUUGGUUUCUAGGAUUGACGUAAUGAUUAAUAGGGAUAGUUGGGGGCAUUAGUAUUCAAUUGUCAGAGGUGAAAUUCUUGGAUUUAUUGAAGACUAACUACUGCGAAAAGCAAUUUGCCAAGGAUGU
This 396-nucleotide ribosomal RNA is filed under the name uncultured Glomeromycotina. RNAcentral's name for it is "SSU rRNA". It matches the Rfam family "Eukaryotic small subunit ribosomal RNA", at positions 569 to 967 of the family's 1831-position model. Lineage: Eukaryota; Fungi; Glomeromycota. The record is from RNAcentral.